This 1402-nucleotide ribosomal RNA is filed under the name Klebsiella sp. NCCP-141. Its description in RNAcentral is "16S ribosomal RNA". It matches the Rfam family "Bacterial small subunit ribosomal RNA". The record is from RNAcentral. Lineage: Bacteria; Pseudomonadati; Pseudomonadota; Gammaproteobacteria; Enterobacterales; Enterobacteriaceae.
AGUCGAGCGGUAGCACAGAGAGCUUGCUCUCGGGUGACGAGCGGCGGACGGGUGAGUAAUGUCUGGGAAACUGCCUGAUGGAGGGGGAUAACUACUGGAAACGGUAGCUAAUACCGCAUAAUGUCGCAAGACCAAAGUGGGGGACCUUCGGGCCUCAUGCCAUCAGAUGUGCCCAGAUGGGAUUAGCUAGUAGGUGGGGUAACGGCUCACCUAGGCGACGAUCCCUAGCUGGUCUGAGAGGAUGACCAGCCACACUGGAACUGAGACACGGUCCAGACUCCUACGGGAGGCAGCAGUGGGGAAUAUUGCACAAUGGGCGCAAGCCUGAUGCAGCCAUGCCGCGUGUGUGAAGAAGGCCUUCGGGUUGUAAAGCACUUUCAGCGGGGAGGAAGGCGUUAAGGUUAAUAACCUUGUCGAUUGACGUUACCCGCAGAAGAAGCACCGGCUAACUCCGUGCCAGCAGCCGCGGUAAUACGGAGGGUGCAAGCGUUAAUCGGAAUUACUGGGCGUAAAGCGCACGCAGGCGGUCUGUCAAGUCGGAUGUGAAAUCCCCGGGCUCAACCUGGGAACUGCAUUCGAAACUGGCAGGCUAGAGUCUUGUAGAGGGGGGUAGAAUUCCAGGUGUAGCGGUGAAAUGCGUAGAGAUCUGGAGGAAUACCGGUGGCGAAGGCGGCCCCCUGGACAAAGACUGACGCUCAGGUGCGAAAGCGUGGGGAGCAAACAGGAUUAGAUACCCUGGUAGUCCACGCCGUAAACGAUGUCGAUUUGGAGGUUGUGCCCUUGAGGCGUGGCUUCCGGAGCUAACGCGUUAAAUCGACCGCCUGGGGAGUACGGCCGCAAGGUUAAAACUCAAAUGAAUUGACGGGGGCCCGCACAAGCGGUGGAGCAUGUGGUUUAAUUCGAUGCAACGCGAAGAACCUUACCUGGUCUUGACAUCCACAGAACUUUCCAGAGAUGGAUUGGUGCCUUCGGGAACUGUGAGACAGGUGCUGCAUGGCUGUCGUCAGCUCGUGUUGUGAAAUGUUGGGUUAAGUCCCGCAACGAGCGCAACCCUUAUCCUUUGUUGCCAGCGGUUCGGCCGGGAACUCAAAGGAGACUGCCAGUGAUAAACUGGAGGAAGGUGGGGAUGACGUCAAGUCAUCAUGGCCCUUACGACCAGGGCUACACACGUGCUACAAUGGCAUAUACAAAGAGAAGCGACCUCGCGAGAGCAAGCGGACCUCAUAAAGUAUGUCGUAGUCCGGAUUGGAGUCUGCAACUCGACUCCAUGAAGUCGGAAUCGCUAGUAAUCGUAGAUCAGAAUGCUACGGUGAAUACGUUCCCGGGCCUUGUACACACCGCCCGUCACACCAUGGGAGUGGGUUGCAAAAGAAGUAGGUAGCUUAACCUUCGGGAGGGCGCU